UACGUAGGGUGCAAGCGUUGUCCGGAAUUAUUGGGCGUAAAGAGCUCGUAGGCGGUCUGUCGCGUCUGCUGUGAAAACUCAGGGCUUAACCCUGAGCUUGCAGUGGGUACGGGCAGACUAGAGUGCGGUAGGGGAGACUGGAAUUCCUGGUGUAGCGGUGAAAUGCGCAGAUAUCAGGAGGAACACCGGUGGCGAAGGCGGGUCUCUGGGCCGCAACUGACGCUGAGGAGCGAAAGCAUGGGGAGCGAACAGG
This 253-nucleotide ribosomal RNA is filed under the name uncultured bacterium. Its description in RNAcentral is "partial 16S ribosomal RNA". It matches the Rfam family "Bacterial small subunit ribosomal RNA", at positions 524 to 776 of the family's 1533-position model. The record is from RNAcentral.